UGCAAAUCAAUGUUUUCCAGAUGCUCUCAAGCUGGGCCAGUGGCCAACUGCAGAACGGAGAGUGGCCGAGCAGGGAAGGUCAUAGAAGGCACAGGAUGGGGAAGGACACUGGAGACCAGGUUCCUGUAGCUGGAGAAGGAAAGAGAUGCCAUGCUAGUCUGAAUCUACUGGGACAGCUCUGUAUCUGAGGCCUGGGUGCAAGGCAACUUGGCUGCUGAAUUAGGGAAGAGAUAAAAGAAGAAUAAGAAUGGUCUGUCUUAUUUUUUUAAGUUGUAGGCGUGUGGGAGGAUUACUCUUCCUGGCCCUGUUUAAGUGAGGUCUGGCCAAGUGAUUUGUCUUCACAAAUGAAAGAAAAGUAAAAAGAACAUGUCACUUCCAGGCAGAAUGUCUGAAAGCCAGUGGACAGUCUGCCUUGAUCCAUUGUCCUGCCUCAGAGGUCAUGGAAAUAUAUGUCAAGACUCAGUCGCUGUCAGCCUGGAUUCCCCAGUGACUACAACACUGCCAACCUCCCUGGGCAUGUAGGGGGAGAGAAAAAUAAGCUUCCAUUGUAUGAAGCUAAGAGAUCCGGAGGGUUAUUUCUUCCUGUAGCACACUCUGACUAAUAGAGUAGCUAGCAGCUAGGAGGUUUUUAAAUAUCUUUAUUUAGCAAAAUGAAAUGGUGCCAAUCUUACGUUGAUAUGAUUUUUUUUUCUUUUGAUAUUUAAUUGCCCCGGGAAGUAUGAUGCCUUGGACAUUCUGACACUGAUAACUGGAGUGUGGGGAGGUGUCCGGUUUAACACGGGUAAUAGUUCUCAGGACAGGGGCCACAAUAUGGGACCCCUCAGCCCCAAUUCAACCAGAGUCACACCUGUUUUAUCUGCAUAAUGAAUAAAUGAACAAGCAUACUGGGGUCUGCACAAGAUUUCACAUCAGGAAAGGGUUUUAUAGCUGAAAAAGAAAAAGUUAAAAGUUGUGCAGCAAAGACUAUGCUAAGCCCUGGGAAUGUGGUAAAGAAUGAGACAGACACAGGCUGCAUAUUGGCUAUGACUUUCAGCUUUGCGGGGCAUGGAGAGGCCGAAAGGGCAGACAAAAGACAAGUCAACUAAUUAAUUAAAUAACUGAAAGUAGAAACACUCUAUGUAGGUAAGAUAUGGGGACUGAAGUAGAGAUUAACAGGAGGUGGCAGGCUGGUAAGAUCUCUUGUCAGAAGGUAGUAUUUUAGUUGCAACCUGGAGGAUGGAAGGGCUACCAGGCAAAAAGGUGUGUAACCUGUUCAAGAGGCUGAAGGCUUGCAUAGCAGGAGGCAGGGCUGAGAAGGAGAGAAGCAGGAAAUAAGUUGGAGGGUCCACAGGAACCUAAUAAGCAGGCCCUCACAAGCCACAAGGAGGUAAGCAAAAGAGAGCAGCAGUGGAUGACGCUGCCUUGCCCAUGUCUACUUAAUAAACACUCAGACUUGAUGCCUUCAAAGCAGAAAUCCUGAUGUCCACUCUCUUGCUCUCCCCGUCUGCCUCUCCUCCUACCUUUCCCAUCUCAUAAAUGGCAGUUUCAUUUUUCAAGUGACUCAGGCCCCAAACCUUGAGAUCCGUAUUUUCCUUGAGGAGAGGUAGGUUGGAUAUGCAAGUCUGGACUGUGGACAGCCUCGAAAGCCAGUUUGGGGCCAGGUGUGGGUGGUGGCUUACGCCUGUAAUCUCAGCUCUUUGGGAAGGUAAGCCAGGAGGAUCACUUGAGCCCAGGAGUUCGAGAGUAGCCUAGGCAAUGUUCCCCUCUAAUUACAAUGAUUACUUUUUAUCUUAGCACUGGGCUGCCUAGAACUGAAUCACAGCUCUGCCACUCGCUAGCUCUGUGGCCUUUGACAAGUCCCU
RNAcentral lists this long non-coding RNA (1841 nucleotides) under Homo sapiens (human). RNAcentral describes it as "long non-coding RNA NONHSAT221096.1". The record is from RNAcentral. Lineage: Eukaryota; Metazoa; Chordata; Mammalia; Primates; Hominidae.